ACGCUCGACACCUACGGGGGGCAGCAGUGGGGAAUAUUGGGCAAUGGGCGCAAGCCUGACCCAGCAACGCCGCGUGAAGGAAGAAGGCUUUCGGGUUGUAAACUUCUUUUGUCAGGGAACAGUAGAAGAGGGUACCUGACGAAUAAGCCACGGCUAACUACGUGCCAGCAGCCGCGGUAAUCUGAGGCGGGCGUGGCGAAGGC
This 203-nucleotide ribosomal RNA is filed under the name uncultured bacterium. RNAcentral's name for it is "partial 16S ribosomal RNA". It matches the Rfam family "Bacterial small subunit ribosomal RNA", at positions 328 to 538 of the family's 1533-position model. The record is from RNAcentral.